Molecule: long non-coding RNA, 242 nt
Organism: Lingula anatina
Lineage: Eukaryota; Metazoa; Brachiopoda; Lingulata; Lingulida; Lingulidae
Source: RefSeq, a predicted model, not a curated record
UGAGCCGUAUUGUUCUGAGUGUCGAUUGUAUGCGAGAACCGUAAUAAAUAGCCAAGCAUACUAUAUAUAUCAACACAAACUGGAGAGUGUUACAACAGACACUAUUGCUCUACCAUUUUGUCAAGUAGAUUCACGACAAGGAAUGUAUAAGAACUAGCAAAGGCAAAGAAAGUCACCACACAGCAAGGCGUAUGUAUCCAAUGAGCAUGAAACAGAUGAAGUAUUCAUAUCAGUUUUGUCAA